RNAcentral lists this transfer RNA (75 nucleotides) under Sinobaca qinghaiensis. Its description in RNAcentral is "tRNA-Trp". It matches the Rfam family "tRNA". From Rfam's summary of the family: Transfer RNA (tRNA) molecules are approximately 80 nucleotides in length. Their secondary structure includes four short double-helical elements and three loops (D, anti-codon, and T loops). Further hydrogen bonds mediate the characteristic L-shaped molecular structure. tRNAs have two regions of fundamental functional importance: the anti-codon, which is responsible for specific mRNA codon recognition, and the 3' end, to which the tRNAs corresponding amino acid is attached (by aminoacyl-tRNA synthetases). tRNAs cope with the degeneracy of the genetic code in two manners: having more than one tRNA (with a specific anti-codon) for a particular amino acid; and 'wobble' base-pairing, i.e. permitting non-standard base-pairing at the 3rd anti-codon position. The record is from RNAcentral. RNAcentral also lists the same sequence under 2 other names. Lineage: Bacteria; Bacillati; Bacillota; Bacilli; Caryophanales; Sporolactobacillaceae.
AGGGGUAUAGUUUAACGGCUAGAACGGCGGUCUCCAAAACCGCAGAUGUGGGUUCGAUUCCUACUACCCCUGCCA